CCUACGGGUGGCAGCAGUGAGGAAUAUUGGUCAAUGGGCUUACGCCUGAACCAGCCAAGUCGCGUGAGGGAAGACUGCCCUAUGGGUUGUAAACCUCUUUUGUCAGGGAGCAACGCCGGCUACGUGUAGCCGGACUGAGAGUACCUGAAGAAAAAGCAUCGGCUAACUCCGUGCCAGCAGCCGCGGUAAUACGGAGGAUGCGAGCGUUAUCCGGAUUUAUUGGGUUUAAAGGGAGCGUAGGCCGGCUUUUAAGUCAGCUGUGAAAGUCCGCGGCUCAACCGUGGAAUUGCAGUUGAAACUGGAGGCCUUGAGUGCACACAGGGAUGCCGGAAUUCAUGGUGUAGCGGUGAAAUGCUUAGAUAUCAUGAAGAACUCCGAUCGCGAAGGCAAGUGUCCGGGGUGCAACUGACGCUGAGGCUCGAAAGUGCGGGUAUCAAACAGGAUUAGAUACCCUAGUAGUC
RNAcentral lists this ribosomal RNA (461 nucleotides) under uncultured bacterium. RNAcentral describes it as "partial 16S ribosomal RNA". It matches the Rfam family "Bacterial small subunit ribosomal RNA", at positions 338 to 795 of the family's 1533-position model. The record is from RNAcentral.